UUGCACUCAAUUGGAAAGAGGAGUUGCGGACGGGUGAGUAACACGUGGGUAACCUACCCAUCAGUAGGGGGAUAACACUUGGAAACAGGUGCUAAUACCGCAUAACAGUUUAUGCCGCAUGGCAUAAGAGUGAAAGGCGCUUUCGGGUGUCGCUGAUGGAUGGACCCGCGGUGCAUUAGCUAGUUGGUGAGGUAACGGCUCACCAAGGCCACGAUGCAUAGCCGACCUGAGAGGGUGAUCGGCCACACUGGGACUGAGACACGGCCCAGACUCCUACGGGAGGCAGCAGUAGGGAAUCUUCGGCAAUGGACGAAAGUCUGACCGAGCAACGCCGCGUGAGUGAAGAAGGUUUUCGGAUCGUAAAACUCUGUUGUUAGAGAAGAACAAGGACGUUAGUAACUGAACGUCCCCUGACGGUAUCUAACCAGAAAGCCACGGCUAACUACGUGCCAGCAGCCGCGGUAAUACGUAGGUGGCAAGCGUUGUCCGGAUUUAUUGGGCGUAAAGCGAGCGCAGGCGGUUUCUUAAGUCUGAUGUGAAAGCCCCCGGCUCAACCGGGGAGGGUCAUUGGAAACUGGGAGACUUGAGUGCAGAAGAGGAGAGUGGAAUUCCAUGUGUAGCGGUGAAAUGCGUAGAUAUAUGGAGGAACACCAGUGGCGAAGGCGGCUCUCUGGUCUGUAACUGACGCUGAGGCUCGAAAGCGUGGGGGAGCAAACAGGAUUAGAUACCCUGGUAGUCCACGCCGUAAACGAUGAGUGCUAAGUGUUGGAGGGUUUCCGCCCUUCAGUGCUGCAGCAAACGCAUUAAGCACUCCGCCUGGGGAGUACGACCGCAAGGUUGAAACUCAAAGGAAUUGACGGGGGCCCGCACAAGCGGUGGAGCAUGUGGUUUAAUUCGAAGCAACGCGAAGAACCUUACCAGGUCUUGACAUCCUUUGACCACUCUAGAGAUAGAGCUUUCCCUUCGGGGACAAAGUGACAGGUGGUGCAUGGUUGUCGUCAGCUCGUGUCGUGAGAUGUUGGGUUAAGUCCCGCAACGAGCGCAACCCUUAUUGUUAGUUGCCAUCAUUUAGUUGGGCACUCUAGCGAGACUGCCGGUGACAAACCGGAGGAAGGUGGGGAUGACGUCAAAUCAUCAUGCCCCUUAUGACCUGGGCUACACACGUGCUACAAUGGGAAGUACAACGAGUCGCUAGACCGCGAGGUCAUGCAAAUCUCUUAAAGCUUCUCUCAGUUCGGAUUGCAGGCUGCAACUCGCCUGCAUGAAGCCGGAAUCGCUAGUAAUCGCGGAUCAGCACGCCGCGGUGAAUACGUUCCCGGGCCUUGUACACACCGCCCGUCACACCACGAGAGUUUGUAACACCCGAAGUCGGUGAGGUAACCUUUUUGGAGCCAGCCGCCUAGUGGAUAGAUGAUGGGU
This 1419-nucleotide ribosomal RNA is filed under the name Enterococcus faecalis. Its description in RNAcentral is "bacterial SSU rRNA". It matches the Rfam family "Bacterial small subunit ribosomal RNA". The record is from RNAcentral. Lineage: Bacteria; Bacillati; Bacillota; Bacilli; Lactobacillales; Enterococcaceae.